CGACACAGCAGACCCUUCUCAGAAGGAGGUGAUCCGUGUUGAUUUGACAGAUCAAGUGGAGAUAGUGGACAAGUCAGAUAAAAAUAAGAGCAAGGAAAAGAAGAAAGCCACCAAGCGAAAGCCCAGUAAAGAGGCCCCAGUAUUGCUGGAUGAUCUUGACUUUGCUGCUGCACUGAGUGGCUUUCCAUCAGAUUCAGGCUUCAAGAAGAAGAAAACUGCCAAGACGGCUGCUUCUACACUGAGUGUGGAAUCCGCCAUUCCUGAAAGUGCAGAUGACUUAUCAGCUCGAACGACUCUCAUCAUCUGCCCGCU
Plectropomus leopardus (leopard coralgrouper) is the source of this 312-nucleotide non-coding RNA. The record is from RefSeq and is a predicted model, not a curated record. Lineage: Eukaryota; Metazoa; Chordata; Actinopteri; Perciformes; Serranidae.